CAUAAAUCAGCGCCUGUGGCGCGGGUAGUUCCGAGUCGGGAUCGGUCCAAUGUGGACGGCCUCUUCCUGUUUCCUCUCCUCCCUUUGACAAAGUGCGUGACCUAAAAACCCUGUGCGCCAGCACCUCCGCCGUAGAACUGGCUCAGGUACAGUCCUCUGCGUGCGGGUGUUCGUUUGUUUGCUUUUACCCAGAGACUGUGUUCCGGGACGUUUGGAGGAGGCUUCCUGGUCCCGUUCUUCAAGGACAGCCGCGGCCUCCGGGCAGCGGGAGCCGGCCCGCGCCGCCCGGGGACGGGGUCUCACACCUCCGCCGUAGAACUGGCUCAGGUACAGUCCUCUGCGUGCGGGUGUUCGUUUGUUUGCUUUUACCCAGAGACUGUGUUCCGGGACGUUUGGAGGAGGCUUCCUGGUCCCGUUCUUCAAGGACAGCCGCGGCCUCCGGGCAGCGGGAGCCGGCCCGCGCCGCCCGGGGACGGGGUCUCACACACCGGGCCGGGACUCUGGACCUGAGCUCCGCGCGGCGGAGGAGCCGCACGCGCACGGCCUGCUUCCCACAUUGGCGCUGACAUCACUCCCAGCGUGCUGCAGGGCACUGUCCUCAACAAGAAGUGUGGGAAGUUAGAUCUGCACCCCCAUCCCCACCCCCCAGGAAAGAAGGGAGCGGCAGAAGAGGAUGAGACCACUCUGCUGCUUCUGGUGCUCCCCAGAGCCCUGCCCACCUUGAGAGUGAACAGGGGCAAGGAAGUCAUGGGGCUCCUCCCCUCUUCCUAAAGGAGGGAGGGACAGGCUCCUAACCUUUGCCCCUUGCUCACCCUGAGGACCUGGGGCAUUUUCUUGGAAUAUUUGUAUGGUUUUACUUGUUGCCACAAGAAGUUACGACUUCUGCAGCUUGAAAGAGAUCUCCCACCCCGCAUAAAGAAAAAGGGACGAUGAAAAUGAGUGUAAGUAUAAAGACCAUGUUUCAACAUGGGAAGACAUUUGCUGUGAGAAUGGCAGAACCCAGAACUGUAGCCUUGCCACCUGCCAUGCCACAAACGUGCAAGACCAUGGGUGGAAGGAAAGGCAGCUCCCCAGGCCGGCAGCCACGGGGGCCUUUUCAGUGUAUUAAACAGUAUAUUGUCUUUUCACUAAAACAGGGAAAGCAUCAGACACACUUUUUUUUUUUUUAAGAUUUUAUUUAUUCACUUGACAGACAGCCAGGGAGAGAGGGAACACAAGGAGGGGGAGUGGGAGAGGAAGAAGCAGGCUCCUAGCAGAGGAGCCUGAUAUGGGGCUCGAUCCCAGAACGCCGGAACCACGCCCUGAGCCGAAGGCAGACACUUAACGACUGAGCCACCCAGGCGCCCCCAGACACACUCUUAAAUAUGAAAAUAAACGUAACCAAGACCACA
This 1391-nucleotide long non-coding RNA is filed under the name Ursus maritimus (polar bear). RNAcentral's name for it is "lncRNA (ENSUMAG00000000495.1)". The record is from RNAcentral. Lineage: Eukaryota; Metazoa; Chordata; Mammalia; Carnivora; Ursidae.